UCAUACUGAAGGUCUGUCAAUAGAUCCUUCUGACCCUUCACUAUGUACUCAGGAGAUUCCUUUGCCGAGAGACUUUGCCCUGAUGA
This is a small nucleolar RNA of Bufo bufo (common toad), 86 nucleotides long. Lineage: Eukaryota; Metazoa; Chordata; Amphibia; Anura; Bufonidae. The record is from RefSeq and is a predicted model, not a curated record.